GUGAGAAAGCUAGUCUCAAGAGUGAAUGGAGGCUUUCAGCACCACGGACAGAGCAAGAGCAAGAGAUGCCGAGAGCUCGAUAACAACCAGCGCGGAUAUGUUGAAAAUGUCAUCACCAAACUCUGAUCAAGGAACCCGGCAUGUAAAAAAUUUCUUUGGUAUCGACCGAUGCUAUACAUCUUUCUGAACUUCACCGGUGGCCUUUCAGGAACAGACGUGAUCCAACCCUCAACUCAGCCUACAACAAAUACACAAGGUUUGUCAUCGUCGACAGCAGCAGCAGCAGAAAGCAGAAAGCCAGUCCGGUGUCCUACCUGUGGAGCAGAACAGGUGACAGUGUGUCCGAAGUUGGAACUAGCCGCCGGUCACCAUCUUCUGCACGGUCAGAGAAGAGAAAGUGCGC
Molecule: long non-coding RNA, 403 nt
Organism: Larimichthys crocea (large yellow croaker)
Lineage: Eukaryota; Metazoa; Chordata; Actinopteri; Sciaenidae
Exons: 3
Source: RefSeq, a predicted model, not a curated record